This is a long non-coding RNA of Ipomoea nil (Japanese morning glory), 230 nucleotides long. RefSeq lists it as uncharacterized. Lineage: Eukaryota; Viridiplantae; Streptophyta; Magnoliopsida; Solanales; Convolvulaceae. The record is from RefSeq and is a predicted model, not a curated record. The transcript is spliced from 3 exons.
AAGGGGAGUUGACUAGAGAGAGAUAGGGGAAGGGAAGACCUUGAAGCUUGGAUCUCCAUCUUCUUCAAGCUUAGAUCUCUAAGAUAUUGGGUAUUCUAGGGAUUUUGACAAGGAGUAUUUGGGCAAGCUAAAUAGCUAAGAUUUGGAUGUUUUAGAGUAGUUAGGACAUGUGAAUAGCACGAGCACAAGUGGUGGGGUCUCGAAGGUGACUUUUGAAACUUGGAGACUUA